GCAGUGCUGAUGUGACUCUCGUCUUCUUCAAAUGAUCUAGCUAAUCCAAAAUCAGCUAUUUUGGCUCGAAGCUUGGAGUCUAGCAGGAUGUUGCUAGCCUUGAUGUCUCUGUGAAUGAUCUUGUUUUUCGAGUUCUCAUGAAGCGGUCCAGACUCUUGUUGGCAAGGUAUUCAUAGACAAGCAGACUUUCAGGUCCCGAACAACUACAACCAAGCAAGCGUACUAAAUUUUUGUGCUCUACACUACUGAUUAUGUUUACUUCAUUGUAAAAAUCUGCUGCUCUAUGUUUGUUAUUGAAGAAAAGCCUCUUCACAGCUAUCUCUCUUCCAUCCGACAGAACUCCCUAUAUCAACAUGGUAAAAACCUCAGAGUUCUAGCUAUAUUAAUUCAAAUGCAUGUUCGAACUGAAGCAAACAAAACAAGACUUACCUUAUAAACAGUGCCAAAUCCUCCUUGUCCAAGCUUGUUAGCCUCAGCAAAGGAUCCCGUUGCCUUUUCAAGGGUAGAGUACUUGAAAUUCAAGCUACUAUUGUUUAGUGUUUUUGCCAUCUUGUUUGCAUCGUUUGAACCUUUGGAUUGGAUAUAUAAAUAAAUGGUAAUCAGGUGAACAAGCUUAGAGAUCUCGAAGAAUGCAUACUCCUGUCUAGCUAGGAGUAAUUAAUUUUUUCCUUCUUUUUUUUCAAGUUCUUGGUACUUAAACCAACAACAAAUAGAAAGGCAGUGUUUUAAA
Cucumis sativus (cucumber) is the source of this 730-nucleotide long non-coding RNA. RefSeq lists it as uncharacterized. Lineage: Eukaryota; Viridiplantae; Streptophyta; Magnoliopsida; Cucurbitales; Cucurbitaceae. The transcript has 2 exons. The record is from RefSeq and is a predicted model, not a curated record.